Molecule: long non-coding RNA, 310 nt
Organism: Xiphophorus couchianus (Monterrey platyfish)
Lineage: Eukaryota; Metazoa; Chordata; Actinopteri; Cyprinodontiformes; Poeciliidae
Exons: 3
Source: RefSeq, a predicted model, not a curated record
AACCUGCGUCAUACUUGCAAUAGACAGGUAAUAUAUAAGGUUCAGCAGCUCAGACUGGUUGACAAAGAGUUAGAGGAGAAGCAAUAGAGGGUUAGAGGAACUUUUGAAACCAGCCACUGCUUUGGGACAAAGAUUGAAAAUGGGACUUAAAGGAAUCUUGAUGAUCCUACUAAUGCUAAAUGCAAGUACAACGCUGACGACUGCACAGGCAAAUACUACAGCUGCUCCAACCACAACCACAGCGGCUCCAACCACAACCACAGUGGCUCCAACCACAACCACAGCUGCUCCAACCACAACAACAGCUGCU